RNAcentral lists this transfer RNA (72 nucleotides) under Patescibacteria group bacterium. RNAcentral's name for it is "tRNA-Glu". It matches the Rfam family "tRNA". Rfam says of the family: Transfer RNA (tRNA) molecules are approximately 80 nucleotides in length. Their secondary structure includes four short double-helical elements and three loops (D, anti-codon, and T loops). Further hydrogen bonds mediate the characteristic L-shaped molecular structure. tRNAs have two regions of fundamental functional importance: the anti-codon, which is responsible for specific mRNA codon recognition, and the 3' end, to which the tRNAs corresponding amino acid is attached (by aminoacyl-tRNA synthetases). tRNAs cope with the degeneracy of the genetic code in two manners: having more than one tRNA (with a specific anti-codon) for a particular amino acid; and 'wobble' base-pairing, i.e. permitting non-standard base-pairing at the 3rd anti-codon position. The record is from RNAcentral.
GGCCCCAUCGUCUAGUGGUUAGGACGUCAGAUUCUCAGUCUGGUAACCGGGGUUCGAUUCCCCGUGGGGCUA